CACGGUAAACGAUGGAUGCCCGCUGUUUGCGAUAUACUGUGAGCGGCCAAGAGAAAUCGUUAAGCAUCCCACCUGGGGAGUACGCCGGCAACGGUGAAACUCAAAGGAAUUGACGGGGGCCCGCACAAGCGGAGGAACAUGUGGUUUAAUUCGAUGAUACGCGAGGAACCUUACCCGGGCUUGAACUGCAGCGGAAGGAUACAGAGAUGUUGACGCCCUUCGGGGCCGCUGUGGAGGUGCUGCAUGGUUGUCGUCAGCUCGUGCCGUGAGGUGUCGGCUUAAGUGCCAUAACGAGCGCAACCCUUUUCUUUAGUUGUCAUCAGGUGAUGCUGGGCACUCUGGAGAUACUGCCACCGUAAGGUGUGAGGAAGGUGGGGAUGACGUCAAAUCAGCACGGCCCUUACGUCCGGGGCUACACACGUGUUACAAUGGGAGGUACAGAGAGUUGGUGUGUCGCAAGUCACAUCUAAUCCUAAAAGCCUUCCUCAGUUCGGAUUGGGGUCUGCAACCCGACC
This 515-nucleotide ribosomal RNA is filed under the name uncultured bacterium. Its description in RNAcentral is "bacterial SSU rRNA". It matches the Rfam family "Bacterial small subunit ribosomal RNA", at positions 798 to 1317 of the family's 1533-position model. The record is from RNAcentral.